This 134-nucleotide small nuclear RNA is filed under the name Marchantia polymorpha subsp. ruderalis. RNAcentral describes it as "U4 spliceosomal RNA". It matches the Rfam family "U4 spliceosomal RNA". Rfam says of the family: U4 small nuclear RNA (U4 snRNA) is a component of the major U2-dependent spliceosome. Lineage: Eukaryota; Viridiplantae; Streptophyta; Marchantiopsida; Marchantiales; Marchantiaceae. The record is from Rfam by way of RNAcentral.
CGCUUUGCGCUUGGGGCAAUGACGUAGUUAGUGAGGUGAAACCGAGACACGUCAAUUGUUGGUUGAAACUAUCUCCUGACAAGCAUCCUAGUGGUUUCCACGAUAGCAAAUUUCGUGAAUUUCCUAGCAUGGAA